CCUAAUCUGCCGAAGGACACAGGUUCGGGGUGUUACACAAUGGUAAGUUAAUUUUUUGUUAUACGAACUUACUAAGCGUUAAAUGCUUACUCUGUCUUAUUUCCUCUGUUUUAUAGUACUCGGAGGCUCGUAAAGGUUGGAAGCUGGUCGGAGCUACAUCACACUAUCCCUCGAACUUUUUGGUAUAUAUAUAAAUAGUAAACUAAUUUUGGUAAUAAUGACAUGUAUAGGUUAAAUGUUACCAUUGAUGACAAUUUAAUUUUGGUUGAAAUUAGCCAUU
This 280-nucleotide long non-coding RNA is filed under the name Gossypium raimondii (Peruvian cotton). RNAcentral describes it as "long non-coding RNA (GRAI_LNC009630)". Lineage: Eukaryota; Viridiplantae; Streptophyta; Magnoliopsida; Malvales; Malvaceae. The record is from RNAcentral.